GUAUCAUUGGUAUAUCAGCAAAUCUCAAGAACUCCUCCGUGACCUUUGGCCUAGUGGUGAAAUCCCUGAGCGGUUUCCAUCCUCUCUGGCAACUCGGUUAGGACGGACUUCUGAAUCUUUCGUAGUGACUGGGUGUGUUGAUAUUCAAUGUCUGCUUUCAGUUUUUUUAAAUUCAUCUACCAGAAUUGGUGCCCUUCUUUUGCGAGGUGUUAUUGUUAAAACCUCUCUGGUCUUUGUGGUUGAAAUUCACUGCUCGAUUUGAAGGACCGUACAAUUAUCUGUAUGUGUGGGGUUGGCGUGAUGAGGUAGUCAUUCAGUCAUGUUGAACACUGUUCUGGCAGACAAAGUGAGUCCUUGUAACUGAUGUGGCUUUAACUACAUAUUUACUAUGGCACUUAAUUAGCCUUGAUAUAACAAUGGGGUUGAAUACUUGACUCAUGAAAAUUUCAGCUUUUCAUUUUUUUUAAUUUAUUUGUCAAAAAAAUAAUCUUAAAAAUAUAACUUUGACAUGAUGGAGUAUUGUGUGUAGGCCCAGUGGAGGAGAAUAAUCUAAAUUGAAUCCAUUUUAAAUUAAAGCUGUAACACAAGGGGCUGUAUUAACCAAUCAGAGAGUUACUGAGAGAACCAGUGUCGUGAUUGGAGAGUUACUGAGAGAACCAGUGUCGUGAUUGGAGAGUUACUGAGAGAACCAGUGUCGUGAUUGGAGAGUUACUGAGAGAACCAGUGUCGUGAUUGGAGAGUUACUGAGAGAACCAGUGUCGUGAUUGGAGAGUUACUGAGAGAACCAGUGUCGUGAUUGGAGAGUUACUGAGAGAACCAGUGUCGUGAUUGGAGAGUUACUGAGAGAACCAGUGACGUGAUUGGAGAGUUACUGAGAGAACCAGUGUCGUGAUUGGAGAGUUACUGAGAGAACCAGUCAUGAUUGUAAAUCGAUGUUAAACACAGUCCUUGAACCAUGAAUACACAGUGUCUUAUUGGCCCAUGUGGGCGGGGCAUCCUGAAGAUGCAAAACACUGUAAUAACAAAAAUGAAUCAAAUGUAGAUAGAACAAAUUU
Oncorhynchus tshawytscha (Chinook salmon) is the source of this 1055-nucleotide long non-coding RNA. NCBI's taxonomy places the organism in Eukaryota, Metazoa, Chordata, Actinopteri, Salmoniformes, Salmonidae. The record is from Ensembl.